AACGAACGCUGGCGGCAUGCCUAACACAUGCAAGUCGAACGAGACCUUCGGGUCUAGUGGCGCACGGGUGCGUAACGCGUGGGAAUCCGCCCUUGGGUUCGGAAUAACUCGCCGAAAGGCGUGCUAAUACCGGAUGAUGUCGUAAGACCAAAGAUUUAUCGCCCAGGGAUGAGCCCGCGUAAGAUUAGGUAGUUGGUGAGGUAAAGGCUCACCAAGCCGACGAUCUUUAGCUGGUCUGAGAGGAUGAUCAGCCACACUGGGACUGAGACACGGCCCAG
RNAcentral lists this ribosomal RNA (278 nucleotides) under uncultured bacterium. RNAcentral's name for it is "partial 16S ribosomal RNA". It matches the Rfam family "Bacterial small subunit ribosomal RNA", at positions 29 to 334 of the family's 1533-position model. The record is from RNAcentral.